UAAUACGGAGGGUGCAAGCGUUACUCGGAAUCACUGGGCGUAAAGGACGCGUAGGCUGGUUGUCAAGUCUGAUGUGAAAUCCUACAGCUCAACUGUAGAACUGCAUUGGAAACUGGCAACCUAAAGUAUGGGAGGGGGAGAUGGAAUUAGUGGUGUAGGGGUAAAAUCCGUAGAUAUCACUAGGAAUACCUAAAGCGAAGGCGAUCUCCUGGAACAUUACUGACGCUAAGGCGUGAAAGCGUGGGGAGCAAACGGGAUUAGAUACCCCGGUAGUCCACGCCCUAAACGAUGAACACUAGUCGUCGGGAUGCUUGUCAUCUCGGUGAUGCACUUAACAGAUUAAGUGUUCCGCCUGGGGAGUACGGUCGCAAGAUUA
This 376-nucleotide ribosomal RNA is filed under the name uncultured Campylobacterota bacterium. Its description in RNAcentral is "bacterial SSU rRNA". It matches the Rfam family "Bacterial small subunit ribosomal RNA", at positions 521 to 896 of the family's 1533-position model. Lineage: Bacteria; Pseudomonadati; Campylobacterota. The record is from RNAcentral.